Molecule: ribosomal RNA, 528 nt
Filed under: Salmonella enterica subsp. enterica serovar Anatum
Lineage: Bacteria; Pseudomonadati; Pseudomonadota; Gammaproteobacteria; Enterobacterales; Enterobacteriaceae
Description: partial 23S ribosomal RNA
Rfam family: Bacterial large subunit ribosomal RNA
Source: RNAcentral
GGUAAGUUCCGACCUGCACGAAUGGCAUAAUGAUGGCGGCGCUGUCUCCAGCAGAGACUCAGUGAAAUCGAAAUCGCAGUGAAGAUGCUGUGUACCCGCGGCUAGACGGAAAGACCCCGUGAACCUUUACUACAGCUUUACAUUGAACUUUGACCUUACCUGUGUAGGAUAGGUGGGAGGCUUUGAAGCAGGCACGCCAGUGUCUGUGGAGCCAUCCUUGAAAUACCACACUGGUAAUGUUGGGGUUCUAACUCAAGCUUAACAGAGCUGAGGACAAUGUAUGGUGGGUAGUUUGACUGGGGCGGUCUCCUCCUAAAGAGUAACGGAGGAGUACGAAGGUGCGCUCAGAACGGUCGGAAAUCGUUCGAAGAGUAUAAAGGCAAAAGCGCGCUUAACUGCGAGACCCACAAGUCGAGCAGAUACGAAAGUAGGUCUUAGUGAUCCGGUGGUUCUGUAUGGAAGGGCCAUCGCUCAACGGAUAAAAGGUACUCUGGGGAUAACAGGCUGAUACCGCCCAAGAGUUCAUAU